RNAcentral lists this long non-coding RNA (701 nucleotides) under Monodelphis domestica (gray short-tailed opossum). Its description in RNAcentral is "lncRNA (ENSMODG00000043723.1)". Lineage: Eukaryota; Metazoa; Chordata; Mammalia; Didelphimorphia; Didelphidae. The record is from RNAcentral.
GAAUCUGCUUAUGGACUCAUUUCUAAUUUGUGACUAGUUGAUCUUCUAGUCCUCUUCACCUUGCUCUCAUUACUUGAAACACAUACCUGAACAAAGAGUUUGAGUGAAAUGAAGAGACACAAAUGUAGCCAGUUUAGAGUGAAGAUAGCAGAAUGAAUCCUAGUACUGAAUGAAUCAUUACCACCAUUUAUAAUGCAGACUAUAGCAGGAAUUUGAUAAUAGAUAGGUACUUGGAAAUUUUCCUCAUGAUUAGAUGAAAAAAUUUGUCAGUAUGCGCAUUGGUAGUUAGUCUUUCAAAUAUAAUUUAAAUGAACAUUCUUUGUAGAAUUCUCAAGGUAGCAACAGAAAGUUUCAAACUCUGGGAAGAUUGAAGAAAAAAGAAAAGCCAGAAGAGAAAAGAAGAUCCAUCUGCCCAUAUCUGUUGCUCAAAAUCAACUGGGUAUUUCUUUGUGAAACAGGGCAUCUAAAUGUACCAGCAAGUUCUAUACCCAUCGUGUGGUUGGAAAUGGAAUUAAAGCUCAAUCUGGAAAUCCAGAAGUGAAAGUUAAAGGGACUGAUCCUAUCAUAAACCAAAUUAUUGAUAAACUGAAACAUGUUAUUCAGGUAAGUUGACUUUUCUUUUGGGGAUAACCUGAAGGUAUUGAUGCACUUACAGCAAAAUGUUCAAUAAAGAUAAUAGUGAAAGAGGCUUAAUUAAUGCU